This 133-nucleotide small nuclear RNA is filed under the name Ipomoea nil (Japanese morning glory). RNAcentral's name for it is "U4 spliceosomal RNA". It matches the Rfam family "U4 spliceosomal RNA". From Rfam's summary of the family: U4 small nuclear RNA (U4 snRNA) is a component of the major U2-dependent spliceosome. The record is from Rfam by way of RNAcentral. Lineage: Eukaryota; Viridiplantae; Streptophyta; Magnoliopsida; Solanales; Convolvulaceae.
GUCUUUGCGCUUGGGGCAAUGACGCAGGUAGUGAGGUUUUAACCAAGGUCCGUCUAUUGCUGGUUGAAAACUAUUUCUGAAUAAGUAGCAGUUUAUCAAGUUGCAUUAAAUUCAUUAAUACAAUAACAUUAUG